CGGCGGACGGGUGAGUACACGUGGGUAACCUGCCUGUAAGACUGGGAUAACUCCGGGAAACCGGGGCUAAUACCGGAUGGUUGUUUGAACCGCAUGGUUCAAACAUAAAAGGUGGCUUCGGCUACCACUUACAGAUGGACCCGCGGCGCAUUAGCUAGUUGGUGAGGUAACGGCUCACCAAGGCAACGAUGCGUAGCCGACCUGAGAGGGUGAUCGGCCACACUGGGACUGAGACACGGCCCAGACUCCUACGGGAGGCAGC
Molecule: ribosomal RNA, 262 nt
Filed under: Bacillus sp. CM14.2
Lineage: Bacteria; Bacillati; Bacillota; Bacilli; Caryophanales; Bacillaceae
Description: partial 16S ribosomal RNA
Rfam family: Bacterial small subunit ribosomal RNA
Source: RNAcentral